CUACAUCAGUGAUAAAGGCAUUUGCAUUUACUGGGUGGGAGACUGAAGAAGACGACGAUGAUGACAAUUUCGAUGACUGCCCGGAACGCUUAACCAAGGAGCUUUUAAGUGAAUUCCAUCAGUUGGAGCAAUUUUGGUUUGGCAGCACCGCCCACAGCCUAUAGCUUGACGUAAAAGAUGCAAUUUGGCAGCCCAAAUGCCGAGGAAAUCGUACAAAAAUGCCGUGCCAUCGUUGCAUCUAUACGCAAGAGUACCGCUGACACGGAAUAAGUGUUGAAUGUGGCCGGUAUGCAUUUGGAAUCUUGCAUCGCAACGAGGUGGAACUCGCAGCUGCAAAUGAUGUGAAAGCUCCUUGCCACUUUUUCGAGUCAUCCAUGCCUGACAGAAACUCCACACGCUUGCAAGAAGGCUAAACUGUCUUAAUAUGAACUGAGGCUGGCGGCAGACUUCAUUGAGCUUCUCUCCCCGGUAGAGGAAGCCACGGAGUUGCUGUAAAAAAGGCACGAGACAGCUGGGCUUUUGCUCUCUGCGUUGCGAAAUAUCGAAGUUUUCCUUGGGGGAAAUCUUAAGCAAAGGCACACUUCUUUGCAAAGAGGCAGCUAAAGGCCUAUGGGAUAGCCUGGAGAAGCAGUUCGCAAGCACCUGACUGACUCUGUUUCUUUGAUGGGUGCCCUUCUAGACCCAUGGUUUAAGUCUUCUUGGCAUUCAGCUGCAAAAGCCGAGCAGAUGCGUUCUGCUGUGCUAGGGAAGGGGCCUCUUUUGUUAGGGCAGGACAGCACCAGCACUGUCGUGAAUGCAGACUCUGAAGCAGGGCCAAGCAGACUGAUGUUUAAAAACAUCAGGCAAAAUGAAAAUGCCCACCAAGACAAUAUGCCUGGAGCCAUUGCGGGGGAAAUUUCUCUUUACCUUACAGAGGGAACUUGGUCACACCUCUGACCUAUUGGAGAGCGAACGUUAGCCGCUUUCCCUUGCUUUCCCGCCUCGCAAGGGUAGUUUUCGCUGUGAAUGCGACAUCAUCUGAUGUGGAACACGUGUUUUCUAUGGCAUCCCUGAUAAUGACAGCGAAGCGAAAUUGGCUGUCAAGCACCUCUUUUGAGCAGUUCAUGUUUCUGAAGCGCAACACCUAGGUAGAAGACAAUUGUCUUAUCUCACUGUUUUUUUUUUGUUUUUAGAACACCGUUGAAGCAACCGUUAUUUACAUUUCGGGUUUUAAACUAAAUGGCAAAGCGCCCAUUUAGCUCGUGACAUUUUGUUGCAAAAUUACGUUGAAUAAAACCAAAAUAAAGCUUCUUUUUGCACCUUGAA
This is a long non-coding RNA of Dermacentor albipictus, 1305 nucleotides long. RefSeq lists it as uncharacterized. NCBI's taxonomy places the organism in Eukaryota, Metazoa, Arthropoda, Arachnida, Ixodida, Ixodidae. The record is from RefSeq and is a predicted model, not a curated record.